GCAGUCUCUGGAGAAGGCAGGCAGACAGCUUGGCCUCUGUUUCCAGUGAGACAGAUAGAUACACCCUGUCACUCUCUAUUAACCUGAACUUUCACCCUGUGGGAAAUGGCUGUUUCUUUUGCUCAAAGCCCACUCAUCAGAACUAUCUGGGGAAUGUGUUCAAAGUGCAGAUCCCAAGAAAUGAAGUUCUGAUGCAUGCUGCAGCAUGGAUGAACCCUGUGCCCGGAGCUGGGGAAAUGGCCCGCUGUGUAAGUGCUUGCUGGACAUGAGUGAGGACCUCAGAUCCCCAGAAUUCCUGUAAAAAGCCAGUGCACAGCUGUCAUCCCAGUGCUGCAGAGGCAGGAGCGCCACAGAGGGCUUUCUGAACAGCCAGUCUAAGCGAAUUGGUAAGCCCCAGGUUCAGUGAAAGACCCUGUCUCAAAAAUAAAAUGGAAAGUGAAGAAGACACCCAGUGUCAACCUCUGACCUCCACACACUUGUACACAAAUGUACCUAACACAUAUACCACACAUUCACAAACAUGGAAAUAACAUGUGCUGAGGGCAGGAGACCUAACAGCAAGCAUUCUACAUGGGCAAUAUCCAGAGUAGGCAAAUCAGAGGGGAGAAACAAAAGGACCCCCAGCGGUGUACACUUUGAAACAGUGGUUUGUGGUAUGAUGCUUGUGAAAGUACAAAUUCCCAUCUUACUCCACAGGCUUCGGGGGCUUGAGUUCUGACGUACACUCAGUUUUGAGUGACGUUUUUAUGCAGUAACACAUCAUACUUGAUGCCCAGAGCACCUCUGGAACAAAAUUUGUCUCGCACUGUCAUUGUGAAGGUAGCACCUUGAGGUUGGAUCAUUCCCCGAGUGUCGCUGUGUCUCCCCAGAUGUCCCUCUUUAUAUACAAGAGUAGUUGCUGUUUGAAAGCACUGUUCUCUUAUCUCACUUAAUCCUCACAGCAGUGUGCAGCGAGUCUAUAACUGUCAGUUAUCCCCGUUUGACUUGUAUGAAAAUGAGCUCAGAGAGCAUCACUUUUCUAGGGCCACAGAGCAGCAGGCAUUGAGUGUUACGAUAAAUCUUUCUGCCAAAAGCUGCCUGAGCCCCACCGCCACGUGUGUGCUUUACGCCAGCCACCUGCCCGAGUUAGGCCCAAAUGAAUACACAGAAACUUGUAUUAGGUUCAAAGCUGCUUGGCCAAUGACUAGGACUUCUCAUCUGUUAGCUCAGUCUUAAUUAUAUGUUAUAAGACUUAUCGGACGCCUUAAUGGCGUCCCUCCUUGUUGGUGGAUCACAUUGUGCCACAGGAGCAGAGGGGAAAGAGGGCCCGUCCUGUUUCUCCUUCGCUUAAAUAUGAGUCUCCUUGCUAUGUCACUUCCUGCCUGGAUCAGCACUUCUCUACUACAUUUCCCAGAAUCCUCUUUGACUCCUAGUCCCGUCUAUUUGCUGUCUCAUUGGCCAAAGUAUUUUAUUUAACAAUUAAAAAGAUAAACCUACACAGAAGUACUUCCCCCAUCAUCUCCUCUUUUCUGUCUAAAUAAAAAGGAUAACUUAUCUUUUAUAAUAACUGAAGAAAACUAUAACCAUAACUAUCUGUCUUCAACUCUAUCAAAGACCACAGAAGGAUAAUAUAUAAACUCUAGAAUUAACAGAGACAUCUCACUACCUGGACAGUCACUCAAAGUUUCUCUGUAACAUUGGGGCAUCCAUCUUCGAUGCCCAUCCUCCUUUCUGACGUAAUUGGUGUGCCAGGAGCAGUUGUGUCUCACUGCCAAGAAAAAUCCGAAACCAUUUAAUUGCCAUAUUUCUGUAGGUCUUUGAAAGGUUUGAAGAAUAUCUAACCAUCUCAAAUAUAUCUCUAUAUGUCUAGAAAACCUAACUAAUCUAAUUAUAAGUUCUGACUAUUAAUAGGUAAAAGAUCUGUAUAAACACAAUACCUAAACAAGAGGAAACAUAUACAUAUCACAAAAUUGACCUUAAAGUUGUAUCAAUAAAUGAAAAUCUAUACCAUUGCAAAGUAUUCAUUCCUAUAUCCUAUUCCCCUUUUCUUUCUUUAAAAAGAGAUUGACUAUGCUCAUUAUCAUUUAUAACUAACCCCAUUUAAAUGAAAACAAACAUUUAUAAACAAUAUUUUGGGAUAUGGGUGUCGUUCUUUCUAAACUGCUUCCUGCUGAUUGGGGGCAAUGUUCAUACCAUGGGGAUCAUGAUAAAACAUAGAAACCUGACCAAGUCCUUGUUUUUGUAGUCUGUAAGGCUGUAUCGUCUCAGCUUCAGGGGGUCUUGCUUGAUCAAACCAUAUUAGUCUGGAAGGAAUCCACAGCUUUUGAUUUUCUGUGGAAAUACAAGCAAAACCUUUCUUUCGAAGUAGCCUGUCCUUAAACGCAAAUCCUGAAGUUAGAGCAUUUUUAAAAUGUAUAACUUGGAUUAAUUUAGCAGCAUUUAUAAUCAAAUGUAUUUUAGCAGCAGUAAUUCUUUCCUCGGCAAUCAACAAUUUAAAGACAACAAUAUGGCAUAUAGUAUCCAGAUUCUCUGUGUAUUUUCCAUCUCUAGGUGGCUUUUUUACUAUUCUACUUUUACUUCCUUUUGUUUCUUUUUUCCCGAGACAGAGUUUCUCUGUGGAAAUCCGCCUGCCUCUGCUUCCUUUAGCAAAUCCUACCGGCGUUGGCCACCACAACCGGCUACUCUAUUUCCUCCUGUUACUUUUUCUCUCACAAGCCUACAUAUAUUUUUAAAUGUAGUGUAAACCUUUAGAGGUUUUUUUUUUUUUUUCAUCUGGAUCUGUCUUUAUCAUAUCGGGAGUGCCGAGUCCAAUGCCCAAGAGCGCCAGGACGGCGCGAGCAUAUGGAAGCUGCUCCAAUGCCUCUCCGCGGCCCGACAGGGCAGGCUGUGGCGGCAGGUUUUUCUCUUUCUCUGGAAACCCUGGGGCAUGGGGUCAUCCCGCUCCCUGACACCAUUAUUGAGGACAACAGUCAAGCCUGUGCUCACUGGUAUCUGCACGGCUCUGAUUUACCCUCACUGCCCUUUUUGUCUAGGGCAGCCUUCCCUCUACCCCUGUCCCCGGGUCCAGGCCUUGGCUUUCUGACUAGCAGCUAUGUGACCUUGGACAAACUGGUUUGGGGGCCUAAGUCUCCUUAUAUAGAAGAGAGUUAGUUGGAUUUAGGAGUUCUGAUACAAAAUUUUCAGGAUCCUCCAAGUAUUAAAAGUUGCUUGGUCUUGUGUUGUUUUACAAGUUGGGAAGGGAAAUUACAUUCAUACAAGGCAGUAUGUCUGCGGCAUGAAACAACAGGUCUCUUGUUUGAAGCAGAAAUGAUAGAAUGUUGGGUCUUUGCAUGUCCCAGUUGACAAUCCUGUGUGUGUGUGUGUGUGUGUGUGUGUGUGUUUACAUGUGUAUGGAGGUCAGAGAACAACCCUGAUUGAUUUUCUUCAGCCAUCCUGUUUGAUGAACAAAGAAUCUGAAAACAAGCUAAUUAUUAUUUAAUGCUUGUAUUUAUGAAAGAGAAGCCGUUGAAGUAGAGUCACCAUGGCUGGUCUCAGAGCUCUUUUUCAGUUUCAACACAUCCAGAAGUAAAGCUAUUAGCAAGACCUGGCCUGGUUUUCCAAUCUCAAAUGCAGGCCUCCUGGUGUCUGGCUCGUAUUUGCAAGGCGAGGUUAGCCUAUUAACAAAAUCAGCAGCAGCAAACACUUGCCAACCCCUCCUGCCAGCCCGGUGACAAGCCCUUCUUUCUCGGAGCCUAGAUCUAACCGCUUACCAUUUGAGUAGUGGAACAGUUCCC
This 3752-nucleotide long non-coding RNA is filed under the name Cricetulus griseus (Chinese hamster). RNAcentral's name for it is "lncRNA (ENSCGRG00015043162.1)". Lineage: Eukaryota; Metazoa; Chordata; Mammalia; Rodentia; Cricetidae. The record is from RNAcentral.